UAUUCUCUGCCCCACUCUGAACUAUAACUCCGAUGAUAAUACUCUCCUCUCCUCCUGACUUUCACGUGAUCCCUGGAAUUGAAGUCAUCAGAAUACCUUCUACCUGUUCCAACAUCAGAAGAAACAUUUCUUAGGCGGGCAUGGGCAGAUGUCCGGCCCUCCUGUGUAAGGUCCUCUUGUAGCCUAAAGUCCUGGUAAUCUCCAGCUUGCUUCCUCAAACUACCAUUCUGCCACCUACCAGAAAGUGCAUUUCGAGGUAACAAUCCCUUGGAAACCAAAUACUCAGCUGCAAGUCUGCCAGCUUCCAUCAAAAUGUCCCCUUUGCGUGGUGGUGGCUGUGGUGGUUGUUGAAAAGACUUGGGCUGGCCCUGGCCACGGCCAAAACCACGAUUAUUGAAGCUUCGGUAUUCAGAAUUGUAAAACCCAUGGCCUCUAGCUGAACUAUCUGGGGAUAUCCUCGAGGCACCCAAACCCAUUCCGAUCGAACUAGACCUGUACCCAUCUCCAGGACUUCGGUGCCUAGGAUGCAUCUUUCUGUUCCUGAUUGUUCUCAAACACUAUUAAAUACAACAAAC
RNAcentral lists this unclassified non-coding RNA (575 nucleotides) under Hevea brasiliensis (rubber tree). Lineage: Eukaryota; Viridiplantae; Streptophyta; Magnoliopsida; Malpighiales; Euphorbiaceae. The record is from RNAcentral.